This 504-nucleotide ribosomal RNA is filed under the name uncultured bacterium. RNAcentral describes it as "partial 16S ribosomal RNA". It matches the Rfam family "Bacterial small subunit ribosomal RNA", at positions 28 to 523 of the family's 1533-position model. The record is from RNAcentral.
GAUGAACGCUAGCGGCAGGCCUAAUACAUGCAAGUCGAACGGGAUCUGAGGGUAGCUUGCUACCCGAUUUGAGAGUGGCGCACGGGUGCGUAACGCGUGAGCAACCUACCCAUAUCAGGGGGAUAGCCCGAAGAAAUUCGGAUUAACACCGCAUAAUAAUACGCUAACACAUGCUGAUGUAUUUAAAUAUUUAUAGGAUAUGGAUGGGCUCGCGUGACAUUAGCUAGUUGGUAAGGUGACGGCUUACCAAGGCGACGAUGUCUAGGGGCUCUGAGAGGAGAAUCCCCUACACUGGUACUGAGACACGGACCAGACUCCUACGGGAGGCAGCAGUAAGGAAUAUUGGUCAAUGGGCGCAAGCCUGAACCAGCCAUGCCGCGUGCAGGAUGACUGCCCUAUGGGUUGUAAACUGCUUUUGUUAGGGAAUAAACCUUCUUACGUGUAAGGAGCUGAAUGUACCUAAAGAAUAAGGAUCGGCUAACUCCGUGCCAGCAGCCGCGGUAA